CGACGCACUUGGAGGAUGUAUAGCGAAAGCUAGUUGCAUUAAAUUCGAUUAAUUCGAAGUUAAUGCAUCAUCGACUAUGUCGAAUAAAGUUCUAGGUAGAGUUAUGAUAAUGACAUUUUCUAUCUAUGUGUCUUGACCAAGUCACGUGCCAGCAGUCGCGGUAAUACGUGGAAGACUAGUGUUAUUCAUCUUUAAUAGGUUUAAAGGGUACUUAGACGGUAAAUUAAGCCCAGAUAAAAACAAAGGGUACUAAUUAUACUAGAGUUGGAUAUGAGGAGGGUGUGUACUAGUGGUGUAGAGAUGAAAUUCAGUCAUACCNUUNUGNCNGGCAACGGCGAAAGCAACCUUUAGAUAAAAACUGACGUUAAAGGACGAAGGCUUUGUGUCACCAACAGGAUUAGAUACCCAAGCAGUCUUAGCAGACAAUUAUGAAUGCCAUAGGUAAGAAGUUUUUUUUGUCUAUAAAUGAAAGUGUAAGCAUUCCACCUCAAGAGUAAUGUGGCAACGCAGAAACUGAAAUCAUUAGACCGUUUCUGAAACCAGUAGUGAAGUAUGUUGUUUAAUUAGAUGGUCCGCAAAAAACCUUACCACAAUUUGUAUAUUAUUAGCUUAAUACAAGAGUUGCACGGCUGUUUUUAGUUAAUGUCGUGAGAUUUUGGUUAGUUCCAUUAAAUUAACGUA
RNAcentral lists this ribosomal RNA (681 nucleotides) under Circinaria hispida. RNAcentral's name for it is "SSU rRNA". It matches the Rfam family "Bacterial small subunit ribosomal RNA", at positions 397 to 1100 of the family's 1533-position model. Lineage: Eukaryota; Fungi; Ascomycota; Lecanoromycetes; Pertusariales; Megasporaceae. The record is from RNAcentral.